AACGCGAAGAACCUUACCUACCCUUGACAUCCAGAGAAUUCUGCAGAGAUGUAGAAGUGCCGAAAGGAACUCUGAGACAGGUGCUGCAUGGCUGUCGUCAGCUCGUGUUGUGAGAUGUUGGGUUAAGUCCCGUAACGAGCGCAACCCUUAUCUUUAGUUGCCAACAUGUAAUGGUGGGGACUCUAAAGAGACUGCUGGUGAUGAACCGGAGGAAGGCGGGGACGACGUCAAGUCAUCAUGGCCUUUAUGGGUAGGGCUACACACGUGCUACAAUGGCGCGUACAGAGGGUUGCCAACCUGCGAAGGGGAGCCAAUCCCGCAAAACGCGUCGUAGUCCGGAUCGGAGUCUGCAACUCGACUCCGUGAAGUCGGAAUCGCUAGUAAUCGCGAAUCAGAACGUCGCGGUGAAUACGUUCCCGGGCCUUGUACACACCGCGCAUA
RNAcentral lists this ribosomal RNA (441 nucleotides) under uncultured bacterium. Its description in RNAcentral is "bacterial SSU rRNA". It matches the Rfam family "Bacterial small subunit ribosomal RNA", at positions 958 to 1398 of the family's 1533-position model. The record is from RNAcentral.